GGCCCCCAAACCGUGCACCCCCACAGGCCGCCGCCGCGGCUACUUACUUUCAUUUAACACCUCCACCAGGUCUGCGCAGUUCUCGCACAUCGUUCGGCCGCCGCCCCCCCCCUCCCCCGCUUCGGAUCGCAGUGACUGAUCCCGACCGGCGGGGGGGAGGGGAGAGAGGCGGAGGAGGGGGCCGGCCGGCCGGCGGGGCGGGGAGGCGACGAGGGCGGGCGGCGGCGGGGACGGGGCGGAGAGCAGGAGUAUGGGGGAGGGGGCCGGCGGUCCCCGGAGCGGGCGGGGGAGAGGAGGGGGGCGAGGGGAGGUGCGCAGGCCGGAGGGGCGCGGAGGCGCCGGCGGCGGGGAAGGGGGGGAAGGACGGGGGGGAGGGGAGAGGGAGGGAGGGGGCGGGUGGGGAGAGAAGCAGCAGAGUCACUUCACCGACCAGACGCCGCGGCCACCGCUGACGCCGCCGCCAUUUUAAUAGAGCGUUCGGGCUGCGCUCGGCUCUUUCCGCCCGAGCGAAGGAGCCGACGAGAAAAGCCUCGCGCUCUCAUUCCUCCGCCUCCUUCCCUCGCUUCGCCUCCCGCCCUCCCACCUCUCCCUCCGCACACACGCCGCACGCUCCACACCCCGCCGCGGCCGGCUCGCCGCCCUCCCUUUCCUCUUCCGUCUGGCCUCCCCGCCCUCGGUCCACCCCCUCGGCGCGUUCGCCCACCCCGCCCAGCCCGGAUCUCUGUCAGCGGCCGGAAGGGAAACACGAAGCCAGGGCGGCCGCGGGGGGAGUCCGAAUGAUGAAUUGAAAUGAAAUGAAAUGUUGGAGAGAUGCAACAUUCCUGACUUUGAAGAUGAAGGGAAGUGGGCCUUGAGUCAAGAAAUGUGGGUGGUCUCCAGAAGAUGGAAAAGACAAGGAAACAAUCUCCCUUUCAGCCUCCAGAAAAGAACCCAGCCAGCCCUGCUGACAUCUUGAUUUAGCCCAAUGAAACCCAUGUUGGACUACUGACUUACAAAACUGUAAAACGAUGUUUGUUAAAUUUAGUUUUAAGCCAUAAAUUUGUGGUAAUUUGUUUCAGCAGCAAUAGAAAACUAAUAGAAGUGAUGUGCAGAUCUAGAGAAUAGCAUAUGCAAAACUCCUGAUACAAAAUUCCUUGCUUCUUUCUAGGAACAGAAAUAAAGCCAGUAUGACUAGAACAUAGUUGGGAGAGAAGGCCCAUGCCAGACUUAACAGAGCACUGCAAACAUUGUUAAGAUUUUGGCCUAGAUCCUAAAAGCAAUACAAAGCAUUUAAGUGUGUAAGCAACACAAUCAGGUUUUUAUUAAAAUAUUCAGACUAGAGGUGCGUGGGUGGGUCAAUUGGUUAAGCAUCUGACUUCAGCUCAGGUCAUGAUCUCGAAGUUGGUGAGUUUGAGCCCCACUGUCAGCGCAGAGCCCACUUCGGAUCCUCUGUCUCCCUCCAUCUCUGCCUCGCCCCCACCCCCCCCCUCAUGCUGUGGUUCUCUCUCUGUCAAAAAUAAACAAACAGGGGCGCCUGGGUGGCUUGGUUGGUUAGGCGUCCGACUUCAGCUCAGGUCAUGAUCUCACAGUCCGUGAGUUUGAGCCCCGCGUCGGGCUCUGGGCUGACAGCUCAGACCCUGGAGCCUGUUUCAGAUUCUGUGUCUCCCUCUCUCUCUGCCCCUCCCCUGUUCAUGCUCUGUCUCUCUCUGUCUCAAAAAUAAAUAAACGUUAAAAAAAUUUUUUUUUAAAUAAAUAAACAUUUAAAAAAUAAAGAUAUAAAAUAAAAUAUUCAGACUAAUGGGGCACCUGGGUGCCCCGGUCAGUUAAGCAUCUGACUCUUGAUCUCAGCUCAGGUCUUGACCUCAGGGUCAUGAGUUCAAGCUUUGUGCUGGACUCUGCACUGGGCAUGAAGCCUAUUUAAAAAAAAAAAUCGUUUAAAAUAUUCAGAUUAAUAUGUAGAGAGUAGAUUAAAGAUAGGGACAACUGGGGGUUAUUAAUAUUAAUCCAGAAAGAUGAUGAUAAGCUUGGACUAGGAUAACAAAGAAAUGGAGAAAAGGGAGUCCAUUCUAAGAACAUUUUAGAGGUGAAAAGAACAAGACUUGAUUGAUGGGUAUGGGGAGAGAAAGUAUCAGAGCUAUCUCCAAAUAAGAGAUUUGCCCAACUGGGUAAAUGAUGCUGCCAUUCACCACAUUGGGGAUCACUUAAAGGAGGACCAGAGGGAGAUGGGAUCAAUAAUGACAAGUACUAUUUUGGAAGCACUCAGUUUGAGGUGCCUGUGAGGUAACUAGGAGUUGUUGACCAGGCAGUUGUUUGAAUCUAAAGCUCAAAAUAAAACUCAGGACUGCAAAUAUAAAAUCAAUCCUUAGUAUGGUAGCUCUUUAUGGGGAAAGAUAACUGCUAUACCUCUAGCAUUAUAAGUUCUAGGCAUGAAGAACAACCAAAGAACCAGUUCCCUCAGCUGUCCCCUCUUAUCAGGAAAGCAAAAACUUUCCAGAAGCCCCUCUGGCUAACUUUACUUUCUCAUUACCUAGAACUCUGUCACAUGGCCACCCUUAGAGCUCAAGGAAAGCUUGAGCUCUAUAUGUGUGUAUAUAUAUAUAUAUAUAUAUAUAUAUACAUAUAUAUAUACACACGUACAUAUAUUACUUGAUAUACAUACGUAUAUAUAUACACACAUACAUAUAUACACUUGAGCUCUAUGUAUGUGUGUGUGUGUAUAUAUAUACACACACACAUAUAUAUAUAUAAAUGUAUAAAAUAUAUAUAUUUUGUAUGUUAACAUAAUUGACAAAGUCAUUCCUCACUGCCAACUAAGCCAAAUCAAACCAAUAAAAUGUCUGGCUUCAUUCUUCAAAUUAAUAAAUACAUAUUUUAUAAUGUAUAUUUUAUAGAUUUGGAUAUUUUGAGGAAUAUUAAAGACACCAAAAAAUACAUUUUGGAACAUCUUACAGGUUAGAUAACUAAAGUAAUAAAGUAAAAUAAUUAAAAUUUUUAAAGCUAUACAAUAAAAUACUGUUUCUAUUAUUUGUGUUUUUUUAAAUGUUUAUAUUUUAUUUAUUUAU
Lynx canadensis (Canada lynx) is the source of this 3041-nucleotide long non-coding RNA. NCBI's taxonomy places the organism in Eukaryota, Metazoa, Chordata, Mammalia, Carnivora, Felidae. The record is from Ensembl.